This 497-nucleotide ribosomal RNA is filed under the name uncultured bacterium. Its description in RNAcentral is "partial 16S ribosomal RNA". It matches the Rfam family "Bacterial small subunit ribosomal RNA", at positions 28 to 507 of the family's 1533-position model. The record is from RNAcentral.
GAUGAACGCUGGCGGCGUGCCUAAUACAUGCAAGUCGAGCGAACAGACGAGGAGCUUGCUCCUUUGACGUUAGCGGCGGACGGGUGAGUAACACGUAGGUAACCUACCUAUAAGACUGGGAUAACUUCGGGAAACCGGAGCUAAUACCGGAUAAUAUUUCGAACCGCAUGGUUCGAUAGUGAAAGAUGGCUUUGCUAUCACUUAUAGAUGGACCUGCGCCGUAUUAGCUAGUUGGUAAGGUAACGGCUUACCAAGGCAACGAUACGUAGCCGACCUGAGAGGGUGAUCGGCCACACUGGAACUGAGACACGGUCCAGACUCCUACGGGAGGCAGCAGUAGGGAAUCUUCCGCAAUGGGCGAAAGCCUGACGGAGCAACGCCGCGUGAGUGAUGAAAGUCUUCGGAUCGUAAAACUCUGUUAUUAGGGAAGAACAAACGUGUAAGUAACUGUGCACGUCUUGGCGGUACCUAAUCAGAAAGCCACGGCUAACUACGUG